Pipra filicauda (Wire-tailed manakin) is the source of this 233-nucleotide long non-coding RNA. RefSeq lists it as uncharacterized. The record is from RefSeq and is a predicted model, not a curated record. NCBI's taxonomy places the organism in Eukaryota, Metazoa, Chordata, Aves, Passeriformes, Pipridae. The transcript is spliced from 3 exons.
CAGCACCAAGUGCCUGUGUCAGCAGCAAGGUCCUGACUGAAGUGGCAGCUGCUGUUGUUCCUGUGGUGUGGGCCAGUGGAAUUCCAAGAAAAUGGACAAGGACAGAACCUGCAGAAGAGCCCAGGCCUGAGAUGGCUGAGUGUUGGUGUGACCCAGAGUGGGUGUCCCUGCCCUGGGGACAGUCCCCAGAGCUGCCUUUGGCAUCCCCUGCUGAAGGGUGGGAGCUGCCCAGA